RNAcentral lists this unclassified non-coding RNA (3078 nucleotides) under Leishmania donovani. RNAcentral's name for it is "gene:LdHU3.23.2320(CDS-product:Meckel_syndrome_ty pe_1_protein_putative)". The record is from RNAcentral. Lineage: Eukaryota; Euglenozoa; Kinetoplastea; Trypanosomatida; Trypanosomatidae.
ACAGGCCACACCCGGCCGUGUUUACGCUGACACGCCGGCAUACACGGGCAUAGAACCACUGCCUUUGCUCGCCCUACCAUCAGAUAGGCCCCCCUCCUCCCCCCGAUCCCGCACCCACCCACACACCCCCACACCCACACACCCACACACCCACACACCCACACACCCACACACCCACACACCCACACACCCACACACCCACACACCCACACACCCACACACCCACACACCCACACACCCACACACCCACACACCCACACACCCACACACCCACACACCCACACACCCACACACCCACACACCCACACACCCACACACCCACACACCCACACACCCACACACCCACACAUCCAUCGCUUCGCUCUCUCGCUGUCCCUCUUCGUGUGCGCAACUCGACGGCCGCCAGCCCGAGGAAAUGAACGUUUUCCACUUUGCAAGCAGCCAGCGCUACCGAUCGCGGCUACCGCUGAGGCAACUGACGUUCACGGUGGCCGUCUACCGGGCCAUCGUUGUGGAGGAGGAUAAAGCGGAGUUGCUCGUGGAGGCAACGGUGGCGUGGGACGGCAAGGUGCUCUCUCCCGCGGAGACGCUUAGUAUAUACAAGGAUGUGACGCAUCUAUCGCGGAGGGAGGCGGCGGGAACGGCCCCAUAUAGCGACAAGUCGGGUGGUCAGAGGGGUGCGUCUGCCCCUGGCUCCCUUCUGCCCAACAUUUCGUCUCUCCCGGCGCUGUCGGACGUCAUCGCGCGGAUCAGCAGGCUGCCGUUUUUCUUCUUCACCCGCCCCUCGCUGGAAGACUUCAUCAACCAGGCUGAGGAGGACGUCCCGGUGGACCCGUCGCCGGGUCCCAGCCUCUUGGCACCCAUCGUAUUGCGCCAGCACCGACGUGAUCACCAGCCCAACCGUUGCAUGUUUCUUAUGUGGGCUGCCGGUGAGCUGCUGGUGCGCGGCCGACCUCCCGGCACCGCGUCACCUGGACCCGUCGGGGGGGCCGAUGGUGUCGCCGACGGUGACGGCGCCGACGGAGGAUCGCACGCGGCAGCUUCGCUGAGAGCGCACCCCACCACCAGCGCGACUCUCUCGCCACUUUCCGCUGCUGGUGCCGCUGCGGAGGCGGAGUCAUCGAUCAACAUUGACGACGUCACGUGGAGCGGCACCGAGCGCGUGCUGUGCACCCUCACUGCCGAACAAGACGAGUACUUCUUUACAGCAAAGCCGAGUCUCAACAAGCUGCACACACUGUUUGUCGACGCCGCGUACAUCUACACGUUUCGCGUAACGGUGUCGCGCGCGGGUGCACCAGUCGGGCAGCGAGAACCAUGGGCCGGGGGUGGGACGCGGCAGGGCAUCCCGGCCGACGGUUGUCUCCUGCCUUCCUCGAUCGCCCCUCUGGAGGUGCUGCUGGCCAAUGCAAGUGACCUAGCUCAGUCCGUGGCAGAGCAGUACGAGUCGCUCGAGGUCGGCAAAGUUGCGGUGGCGCGCCGACUGCUGCGGCAGGUGGCGAUGAUGGCGCCACUGGAACGUGCCGGUACCGACGGUGGUGCCGCGGCGGCAGCAGCAGCAUCGGUGCCAUCAUCAUCGGAGGUUGCUCGACGGCGUCGCGGACAGGGAGCGCUUGGCCCCGGCAUGCCGUUUUCUGCCGCCGCCGAUCGCACUGGAGUCAGGGGCACCAUGGGCACCUUGACAUCGUCGUCUAGGUCGCAGCGUGCGGCCAGCUUUGGAGCCGCGCUCCUCUCACCAGCCGGUUUCAAGCGCAGCGCCUCCUCGCUGCCGCGUGACUCCUGCCAGUACCAUGUAUUCGGCACAGUUGACCGUUGCGUCGGCAUCGCGGAGUGGACGCUGUUUGUACGUUGCCAACUUGUCGAGGAUGAGGCUGUUACCCCCUCGAUGCACGACCCGCUCCCCACGUCGUCGUCUUCCUCAUCUGACGUGUACGAGUUCAUCUCUCAGCUCGCCCACGCUAGCAUGUUCGUGGAGGGCGAGUUCCUGUUAGACGUGGACCACGUCUUCAACUUGCCCUUUGACCGCUCCUUUGUUGGCCCCGCACUGCCCAGCAGCCCGCUGCGACUCAUCGCGACUGCCUUUACUGAGGGUGCCGCAACGGAGGGGUUGCAGGCGCCCGUCGCGUACGCCUGCGUGUCGCUCCCCAUCGCCAGUCCCGGCCACCACACAGUCACAGCGCCGAUGUGGGCACCGCACAAGACCGGCGUCGAGUUUCUUCGCUCCACACUGGUUGGUGGUGCACCUGGGCUGGUGGAUGCACGGCAGGCGGGCCCUGCCCUGGCACACCGCACGGGGCUUAACGUGAAGGAGGGCCUCUACGCCGACAGCGUUGGCACGCUGCACAUCACGGUGAACAUAAUCCACCACAAACACUGGGACAGCCACUAAGAGACGCAGCAACGCGUUCUGGCCGUGUGGUGACGCAUGGCGGGGCUCCAACAACUGCCGCUGCUGCCUGCCAUGUAGAGCAAGCCCCUCUGCGCGCGCGUGUGUGUGUUUCUGUGCGUACUCAUAGACCACUUUGCAGCUGCAGCGUUGUACUGUAUACGGCGACAUAGACGCGCACAAAUAACGGAGUAUCGCCGAACACCACUGGCAGACCGAAGAGACAAGAGGGGGGGGGGUGGACGAAAAGGGAGGGAGGGGGGCCAUUUCAUGUGCGUGCGUAUAUGAGCGACUCACCCCUGCACGUUGCGAUGGGUGUGUGUGUGUGGGGGGGUGAGGAGAGGAGAUAUGCAAGCACGACAGAUGGAGCUCUUCCCAUGCACGCCCUGUCCCGCUCCUCUCCUUUUCUCUUUGUAACGCAGCGACGCGCACUGAACCAUCGAGGAGAUGGGAUGGAAGUCAUGCCAUGCGUAGCGCCGGUGUGUUACUGGUCCCUUGAACCACACGUGAUGCAUCUUCUCUGCCGCACUUUCCUUUCGCUCUUUUCCACUUCGUUUUCUGUUCUCCUCCUCGUGGCUGUUGGCGGUACGGGCAUGUCUGUGGUCGCCGUGAUGCUGCCGUCAUACGCGCGUGUAUAUGCGAGUCGUGCUGUGCCACGGAUUACUCGCCCCCCCCCCCCCCUCCUCUGCAAG